Molecule: ribosomal RNA, 438 nt
Filed under: uncultured bacterium
Lineage: Bacteria
Description: bacterial SSU rRNA
Rfam family: Bacterial small subunit ribosomal RNA
Source: RNAcentral
AGAGUUUGAUCCUGGCUCAGAACGAACGCUGGCGGCAGGCUUAACACAUGCAAGUCGAGCGCCUCGCAAGAGGAGCGGCAGACGGGUGAGUAACGCGUGGGAAUCUACCCAUCUCUACGGAACAACUCCGGGAAACUGGAGCUAAUACCGUAUACGUCCUUCGGGAGAAAGAUUUAUCGGAGAUGGAUGAGCCCGCGUUGGAUUAGCUAGUUGGUGGGGUAACGGCUCACCAAGGCGACGAUCAGUAGCUGGUCUGAGAGGAUGACCAGCCACACUGGGACUGAGACACGGCCCAGACUCCUACGGGAGGCAGCAGUGGGGAAUAUUGGACAAUGGGCGCAAGCCUGACCCAGCCAUGCCGCGUGAGUGAUGAAGGCCUUAGGGUUGUAAAGCUCUUUUACCUGGGAAGAUAAUGACUGUACCAGGAGAAUAAGCGCG